RNAcentral lists this ribosomal RNA (396 nucleotides) under uncultured bacterium. RNAcentral's name for it is "partial 16S ribosomal RNA". It matches the Rfam family "Bacterial small subunit ribosomal RNA", at positions 523 to 918 of the family's 1533-position model. The record is from RNAcentral.
AUACGAAGGGUGCAAGCGUUAAUCGGAAUUACUGGGCGUAAAGCGCGCGUAGGUGGUUUUGUAAGUUGGAGGUGAAAGCCCCGGGCUCAACCUGGGAAUUGCCUCCAAAACUGCAUGACUAGAGUACGGUAGAGGGUAGUGGAAUUUCCUGUGUAGCGGUGAAAUGCGUAGAUAAAGGAAGGAACACCAGUGGCGAAGGCGACUACCUGGACGGAUCCUGACACUGAGGUGCGAAAGCGUGGGGAGCAAAAAGGAUUAGAUACCCGGGUAGUCCACGCCGUAAACGAUGUCAACUAGCCGUUGGGAUCCUUGAGAUCUUAGUGGCGCAGCUAACGCAUUAAGUUGACCGCCUGGGGAGUACGGCCGCAAGGUUAAAACUCAAAUGAAUUGACGGGG